Maylandia zebra (zebra mbuna) is the source of this 2042-nucleotide non-coding RNA. Lineage: Eukaryota; Metazoa; Chordata; Actinopteri; Cichliformes; Cichlidae. The record is from RefSeq and is a predicted model, not a curated record.
CUCUGUGUGGGGAACAUGAGAGCCAGACCAAAGCUCAGAGGAUCCAUCAGAGGCUCAACCCUGAAUCUGAACUCAGCUGUGUGUCCUUAAAAAGUCACUGGUCAGCAGAUCGUCCCAUUAAUUUUAAAGUCCAGCAGGCGUCUGCUGCAGAGAGGAUCCAUGAAAGAUUACACUCACCUGAACCUGAUCUCAGUGGUAUGUCCUUUAAGCGUCAUCGGUCUAUGGAUCCACCAUUAAACUUUAAAAAAUGGGGGAUUUCAAAGACAAAGUGAGUGAACAUCGGUAUAAUUUAUAAUUAGAUUAGGCACUUCCAAACAUCUAGCAGAUGACUUUGGUGUGUUUGUCACUUCCCGUUCCCCCCCCUGUCCUCAAUUUCUGAGUCAUUUGAGGAGUUUCAGUAUCUCCAGUAUUUGUUCAACACAGCAGAAAAGGCAGAUUGCACGUACUAUAAUUGAGGAACCAAACAAAAUAAGUGAGGAAAUUAACAUGUUCUAUAGUAAUCUGUAUAAAUCAAGAACUGAAAAAGAAAAUGCAGAUAUCUUUUUGAUAUGAUUAAAGACCAGGUAAGAAAAUUGGAAGAGGAUGAUAAAACAUGGUUAGAAGAAGAUUUGAAUAUAUCCGAAUUAGAUACAGCUCUAAAACAAAUGAAAGAUGGAAAAUCGCCUGGAAUUGAUGGUUUAACGAUUGAAUUUUAUAAAACCUUUUGGCAAGACAUUAAAGAUUUGUUAUUUAAUGGCUUUUUGGAUUGUUUAAAAAAUGAAGAACUAUCCCCAACAAUGAAAACAGGAUUAAUAACCUUAUUACCCAAACCAAACAAAGAUUUACAAAUGCUAGACAAUUGGAGACCCAUAACACUUUUAUGUAACGACUACAAAUUAUUAGCCUUAGUAUAUGCAAAUAGGCUUAAAAGCGUCUUAACCAAAUUGAUUGAUGAGUGCCAAUCAGCGUUUAUUAAAGGAAGGCAGAUUCAUAAUAACAUAAGAUUAAUAUUAGAUAUGAUUGACUAUCGAUCCUUUAUUAAUUCAGAAAGUUUAAUACUAUUUAUUGACUUUUUUAAAGCAUUUGAUUCAAUAGACCAUAAUUUUUAUUUAGAUCUUUAGAACUUUUUGGAUUUGGAAACAAAUUUUGCAAAGUGAUCAAACUGUUCUACAAGCAAAUUUAUAGUUAUGUUUCGCUCAAUCCAGGCAUAACAUCUAGGAUAGACAUAUUCUGUGGAAUUCGACAGGGUUGCCCAAUUUCUCCAAAAUUAUUUAUUCUUUGCACUCAAUUAAUGGCUUACCUCAUUGUGAACCAUUCAGACAUCGAAGGAAUAAACUUUUUUGAUAUUGAACUGAAAAUAAGUCAGUUUGCAGAUGACACAGUAAUAUUUUUAAAGGAUAAAUCAAUACUCGAGAAAGCAUUGAAUGUCAUUUCAAUUUUUUCUAAAGCUUCAGGCUUGUGUCUGAACCUAAAGAAGUGUGAACUUUUGCCACUUUAUGAUUGCUUGGAAAAUAGCAUGAGGACGAUUCCAGUGAAAAAUGAAGUUAAGUAUCUAGGCAUCUAUUUAGACAAAGACAUCAACACUAGAGAAUCAAAAAACCUAAAAGACAAAAUUGAUGGCAUGUCCAAAACACUAAAUCAUUGGUUGACGAGAGAUAUUACAAUUUUUGGACGCAAUCUAUUAUCCAAAUCAGAGGGCGUCUCAAAGAUGGUUUAUCCAGCAUACUCACUAUACAUUACCCCGAAAAGCAUUAAAAAGAUUAACUCUAUAAUCUAUCAAUUCAUUUGGCGCAAUAAAACACAUUACAUUAAAAAAUCACAACUUGUCAAAGAUUACGCUAAAGGUGGUAUAAAGUCAAUUGAUUUUCAAUCAAUGGUUGGAGUUUUUAAAAUAAACUGGAUAAAAGCCUUCCUCUUGAAACCUGACUCCAUAUGGUUCCAUAUCCCAAAAAAUAUUUUCAAAAAGGUGGGAGGGUUGGAUUUUCUCCUGAAAUGUGAUUUUGAUAUAUUGAAGUUGCCUGUGAAACUGUCAGAAUAUCAUAAGCAGGUCUUGUUUUAUUGGA